Molecule: long non-coding RNA, 12319 nt
Filed under: Triticum aestivum (bread wheat)
Lineage: Eukaryota; Viridiplantae; Streptophyta; Magnoliopsida; Poales; Poaceae
Description: long non-coding RNA (TAES_LNC020407)
Source: RNAcentral
AGAUGGAUGGAGCGAGGUCAGCAAUACACGUGCAAGGAUUGGAUGCAUCCAUCCAUGCCAUGCAUUGGGUCCUCAGAUCAACGGCACGUACGCGCAUGUAGGGUUUUGAAGCAGCGCCAGGCAAGCAAGCGUAGGAGGCGACAGACAUUAAUGGAUGGCUCACGUACGUAUGUUGGAGGUGAUCGAGGAGGUGGGUGAUCAUAGCUUUAGCUCUUAGACUCGCAUCGAUUUUUAUCAUCAUCGUUCGCCGCAAGUUCUUGGCGCACGCCAUGAUUUGAUUUGUUUCCUUAAUUUCUUUGCUCUUUCCUUUGUGUUUCGAUCGUCUUGUAAGGUUAAGAAAUUCUUCUUGCAUCCUUUUGGAGCAAACUUACGUGCAUGCUUCUGUCAUACGGCCGGAACCCCUAUAGCUAGCAUGCUACUCCUAUCUUUCUUGCAUUAUCGAUGCAUGAUUUACAUGUUCCUUGUCUUGUUGAGAUGUCAGUUCUUGUCUUCUUGACGGGAAGUUUAGGACAGACACUUGCACGGCCUACUACUUUUGGCCAUCAAACAUGAACCACUAAAGCUUUGCUAGACCAUAUAUACGUAGGUGCUUGCUCGUUUCUAUUUGUUUCAGGAAUGAUCUCGUUAAGCCUUUCCUUCUUUUUUCUCCUAGUAUUACCCUGUUUUCGGUUAGCAACACGAAAGAAAACUAUAUUGGACAGCGUCAGUACGUAAACAAAGAUUAUGUAUGCCACUUACUUUCCUGAUUCACAAGAGUAGCAUUAGGUCAAUGUUCAGAGGGAUCUUUGAGAGAUCUCCGGCUGAUACAAAAUAGGGUAUUACGAGUAGUGCUGGAAAUUAAGCUAGUGCCAAAUACCUCUCUCGUCCAGGCAGGUUCUGCUGCAUAGACCUGAUAUGAUAUCAUUGGGGUUUCAUGGAGAUUGAGAGUGACAAAUGGCCCUAUAUAUGUUGUUUUCCUAGAAGACAAUAUCUGGUGAAACGGUACAGAGCAUCAGCUAUAAUAAGUUUGGUGUCAUUAUCUUUGGUCCAAGAGGCCGGAUAAAUUUUUGUUCUGUCUAUCCCAAGCUAGUAAGACCGUUUGACAUGUUUUGGAAAGAAAGGGCCGGCCUGUGGUUGACAGAUAAUUAGUUCCCUCGCACCACUGAAUCUGUUGAAUAAGUUAAGCUUGGUGCUACGUAGAAGACAAGAUCAAGAGUAGUUACGGGUUUGCAACGUAGUGGGGAGUGACGAUGCAACACUCGGUGGAAUUAUGAAAAUAAGUCAGGACGAGGAGUAGGAUAAAAGAGAGAGAGGCACGACGAAUGUCGAUCUCAGAGGAUUAGGUGAUGGGGUGAUAUCAUUAGUCGAGAGCCGUUUCCAGACAAAUCAUAGUUUGCACCCUCAGCCUUUUCCUGAUCUUCUUGCAGAACCGUUCCAUUAUUUCGAAUGACGUUUCAGUCUUGACGUGCACAUCUCCCCGCCGGUUACGUACUUACGUUGGGGCUUAGUUUUUAAUCUACUUAUUUCACGAGCAAGUUAAAUUGCCGGCCCGUUGAUUAGAGCACGUAACUCGUGGGAAGAACUAGUAGUGGUGCAAACCAAAUCAAACCAAAGAGAGAGAGAGAGAGAAAACAUCAUAUGGAGUGAGUAUAAUCCAACAGAAAUGGGCUCUGGUCAGCAGUUCACUGGCAACAUUUCAUGUGGGCAGUGCAGAACAACGUAUGUAUGCGCCUCUGUUUUACAGUGCUGGGAACGAGGAUCCACCAACCACUUCCAUGCAAGUGCCGGCGAGAGGCAUGGGCGUACAUGCCGCCUGCCACCGAGAGCUAGAUACGGUACGAGAUCGACGACGGAUCGCGCGAAAAGCCACGAGGAAGAGAGAGCGGCAGAGCGAGCGAGGAGUGGAAAGGUGAUGGGGGCAUGGCAUCAGGCACGAACAAGAUCAGGCCGCCGGCCGCGCGGGUCGUUAUCGCGUGGGCUUGGCGAUGAUCCAUCGAUGGCGAGUGAGUGUGCGGGGCGCGAGGUGGAUGAAUGGAUGGAUGGGAAUGGGAAUGGGAAUGGUGGUGGAAGCGAAUCUCCGGGCGGGCGCUGGUGGAAUCUAACAAAAGAAGGUGGGCUUCGACUGGCCGGCCGGCCGGCCAGUGAGUGGCCUGCUCCUGACGUGCCUCACGGGGCCCCGCGCGAUCUUUACCUUUCCCUCCUUUUCUCACGCGAAAUUAUUAUUGCGCCGACCCGACCCACUCACCCGCGCUUCCCUGGCUGCCCAUGAUCUGCAAGGUCGCUGUCCACUGCCACGGCCCCUCCUUUCCUCGCAGCGUCGUCGAGUCAGCACUUACGCUACUGCUACUACAAUCAUCUAUUCAUAUCAGUGCAUCUUCAGAGCGGAUUUUCAAACCGUCUGCAACCGUUCGGACACUCCCCCACCUUGUAUUGGUCCGCCUAUCAAAAACCAAAAUCAAACGGGGGAGGAAGGCUUUGGACUCCGACACCCCCGACCCACCUAACACCCCUCCCGGACCCAUGCCUACAUAAUGUCAUCUUUCUCUGCAUCUGUUUUCUUUUUUGCCGAUGCCACCGCUCCACCACCCCCACCGGCCCGCCACAGCCCCCCAGGACCCCGCGACUCCAUCCUUUCAUCAUUCUCUGCAUCUGUUUUCCCUCUUGCCGAUGCUACCGCUCCACCACCCCCACCGGUGUUGGAAAUAUGCCCUAGAGGCAAUAAUAAAUUGGUUAUUAUUAUAUUUCCUUGUUCAUGAUAAUCGUUUAUUAUCCAUGCUAUAAUUUUAUUGAUAGGAAACUCAGAUACAUGUGUGGAUACAUAGACAACACCAUGUCCCUAGUAAGCCUCUAGUUGACUAGCUCGUUGAUCAAUAGAUGGUUACGGUUUCCUAACCAUGGACUUUGGAUGUCGUUGAUAACGGGAUCACAUCAUUAGAAGAAUGAUGUGAUGGACAAGACCCAAUCCUAAGCCUAGCACAAAGAUCGUGUAGUUCGUAUGCUAAAGCUUUUCUAAUGUCAAGUAUCAUUUCCUUAGACCAUGAGAUUGUGCAACUCCCGGAUACCGUAGGAGUGCUUUGGGUGUGCCAAACGUCACAACGUAACUGGGUGGCUAUAAAGGUACACUACAGGUAUCUCCGAAAGUGUCUGUUGGGUUGGCACGAAUCGACACUGGGAUUUGUCACUCCGUGUAAACGGAGAGGUAUCUCUGGGCCCACUCGGUAGGACAUCAUCAUAAUGUGCACAAUGUGACCAAGGAGUUGAUCACGGGAUGAUGUGUUACGGAACGAGUAAAGAGACUUGCCGGUAAAGAGAAUGAACAAGGUAUCGGAUACCGACGAUCGAAUCUCGGGCAAGUACAAUACCGCUGGACAAAGGGAAUUGUAUACGGGAUUGAUUGAAUCCUUGACAUCGUGGUUCAUCCGAUGAGAUCAUCGUGGAACAUGUGGGAGCCAACAUGGGUAUCCAGAUCUCGCUGUUGGUUAUUGACCGGAGAGUUGUCUCGGCCAUGUCUGCAUGACUCCCGAACCCGUAGGGUCUACACAUUUAAGGUUCGAUGACGCUAGGGUUAUAGGGACUAGAUAUACGUGGUUACCGAAUGUUGUUCUGAGUCCCGGAUGAGAUCCCGGAUGUUACGAGGAGUUCCAGAAUGGUCCGGAGGUAAAGAAUUAUAUAUGGGAAGUCCUGUUUUGGUCGCCGAAAAAGUUUCGGGUUUUAUCGGUAAUGUACCGGGACCACCGGGAGGGUCCCGGUGGUCCACCGAGUGGGUCCACAAGCCCCGGAGGGCUGCAUGGGCCAAGUGUGGGAGGGGACCAGCCCCAGGUGGGCUGGUGCGCCCCCCCCCCACAAGGGCCCAAGGUGCCUAGGGUUUGGGGAGGGGGCGCCUCCACCUAGCUUGGGGGGCAAGUUUCCCCCUCUCCCCCCCCCUUGGCCGCCACCCUAGAUGGGUUUCGGGCUGCCGCACCCCUUGGGGUGGAAACCCUAAAGGGGGCGCAGCCCCCUCCCUCUCCCCUAUAUAUACUUGAGGACUUUGGGGCUUCCCACACAUGAGUUUUGACCUCUCCAUGGCGCAGCCCUGCCUCUCUCCCUCCUCCUCUCCCGCGGUGCUUGGCGAAGCCCUGCAGGACUGCCACGCUCCUCCACCACCACCACGCCGUCGUGCUGUUGCUGGAUGGAGUCUUCCCCAACCUCUCCUUCUCCCCUUGCUGGAUCAAGGCGUAGGAGACGUCACCGGGCUAUACGUGUGUUGAACGCGGAGGUGCCGUCCGUUCGGCACUAGGAUCAUCGGUGAUUUGGAUCAUGACGAGUACGACUCCAUCAACCCCGUUCACUUGAACGCUUCCGCUUAGCGAUCUACAAGGGUAUGUAGAUGCACUCUCCUUCCCCUCGUUGCUAGAUUACUCCAUAGAUUGAUCUUGGUGAUGCGUAGAAAAUUUUGAAUUUCUGCUACGUUCCCCAACAGUGGCAUCAUGAGCCAGGUUUAUGCGUAGUUUCUAUGCACGAGUAGAACACAAAGCAGUUGUGGGCAUCGAUAUUGUCAAUUUACUUGCCGUUACUAGUCUUAUCUUGAUUCGGCGGCAUCGUGGGAUGAAGCGGCCCGGACCGACCUUACACGUACUCUUACGUGAGACUGGUUCCACCGACUGACAUGCACUAGUUGCAUAAGGUGGCUAGCGGGUGUCUGUCUCUCCCACUUUAGUCGGAUCGGAUUCGAUGAAAAGGGUCCUUAUGAAGGGUAAAUAGAAAUUAGCAUAUCACGUUGUGGUUUUCGCGUAGGUAAGAAACGUUCUUGCUAGAAACCUAUAAAGCCACAUAAAAACUUGCAACAACAAUUAGAGGACAUCUAACUUGUUUUUGCAACAUAUGUCGUGUGAUGUGAUAUGGCCAAAAGGAUGUGAUGAAUGAUAUAUGUGAUGUAUGAGAUUGAUCAUGUUCUUGUAAUAGGAAUCACGACUUGCAUGUCGAUGAGUAUGACAACCGGCAGGAGCCAUCGGAGUUGUCUUAAUUUAUUUAUGACCUGCGUGUCAACAUAAACGUCAUGUAAUUACUUUACUUUAUUGCUAAAGCGUUAGCCAUAGUAGUAGAAGUAAUAGAUGACGAGACAACUUCAAGAAGACACGAUGAUGGAGUUCAUGAUGAUGGAGAUCAUGGAGUCAUGUCGGUGACAACGAUGAUCAUGGAGCCCCGAAGAUGGAGAUCAAAAGGAGCAAAAUGAUAUUGGCCAUAUCAUGUCACUAUUUGAUUGCAUGUGAUGUUUAUCAUGUUUUACAUCUUAUUUGCUUAGAACGAUAGUAGCUUAAAUAAGAUGAUCCCUCACUAAAAUUUCAAGAGAAGUGUUCCCCCUAACUAUGCACCAUUGCGAAGGUUCGUCGUUUCGAAGCACCACGUGAUGAUCGGGUGUGAUAUAUUCUAACGUUCGAAUACAACGGGUGUAAGCCAGAUUUACACACGCAAUACACUUAGGUUGACUUGACGAGCCUAGCAUGUACAGACAUGGCCUCGGAACACGGAAGACUGAAAGGUCGAGCAUGAGUCGUAUAGAAGAUACGAUCAACAUGAAGAUGUUCACCGAUGUUGACUAGUCCAUCUCACGUGAUGAUCGGACACGGCCUAGUUGACUCGGAUCAUGUUUCACUUAGAUGACUAGAGGGAUGUCUAUCUGAGUGGGAGUUCAUUAAAUAAUUUGAUUAGAUGAACUCAAUUAUCAUGAACAUAGUCUAAAUUGUCUUCGCAAAUAUGUUGUAGAUAAAUAGCUCACAUUGUAGCUCCCUGUUUCAUUACGUUCCUAGAGAAAGACCAAGUUGAAAGAUAUUGUAAGCAAUGAUGCGGACUAGGUCCGUAGUCCAAGGAGUGUCCUCACUGCUACACAGAAGGCUUACGUCUUUGAUGCACCGCUCGAUGUGCAAACCCCUACAACGUCGUCUGUGGAUGUUGUGAACACCUGACAGACACAUCCUGAUGACUACUUGAUAGUUUAGUGCACCAUACUUUACGGCUUAGAAUCGAGAUUCCAAUGACGUUUUGAACGCCAAAGAACAUAUGAGAUGUUCUAAGAGCUGAAAUUGGGAUUUCAGGCUCAUGCCCGUGUUGAGAGGUGUGAGACCUCUGACAAGUUAUUUUGUCAACAAGAUGGAGGAGAAUAGCUCAGCUAGUGAGCAUGUGCUCAGAAUGUCUGGGUGCUACAAUCACUUAAAUCAAGUGGGAGUUAAACUUCCAGAUAAGAUAGUGAUUGAUAGAGUUCUCUAGCCACUAUCACUAAGCUACUAGAUCUUCGUGAUGAACUAUGAUAUGCAAGGGAUGGAGUUGAUCCCGGAGCUGUUCGCGGUGCUUAAGACCGCAAAAGGUAGAAAUCAAGAAGGAGCAUCAAGUGUUGAUGGUUUAACAAGACCACUGGUUUCAAGAAGGGCAAGGGCUAGAAGGGAAACUUCAUGAAUGGCAAACCAGUUGCCGCUCCAGUGAAGGAACCCAAGGUUGAACCCAAACCUGAGACUGAGUGCUUCUAUUGUAAGGGGAACGGUCACUGGUAGCGGUAUUACCCCAAAUGUAUGGUAGAUAAGAAGGCUGGCAACUUCAACAAAGUAAAUACGUGUUAUUAAUGUGUACCUCACUAGUACUCCUGGUAGCAUCGGGGUAUUGGAUACCAGUUCAGUUACUAUUAUUGGUAACUUGAAGCAAAAGCUACGGACUAAAUGGAGACUGGCUAAGGGCGAGGUGACGAUGUGUGUUGGAAGUGUUUCCAAAGUUGAUGAGAUCACCAUCGCACGCUCCAUCUGCCUUCGGGAUUAGUAUUGAACCUAGAUAAAUGUUAUCAGGUGUCUACGUUGAGCAUGAAUAUAUCAUGUUCAUUGCAAUACGGUCAUUCAUUUAAGUUAGAGAAUAAUGGUUAUUCUGUUUACAUGAAUGAUACCUUUCAUGGUCAUGCACCCUAUGUGAAUGGUUCAUUGAAUCUCGGUCGUGGUAAUACACAUGUUCACGCCAAAAGAUGUAGAGUUAAUAAUGAUAGUACCAUUUUCUCGUGGCACUGCCGCUUAGGUCAUAUUGGCGUAAGAUGCAUGAAGAAACUCCAUGUCGAUGGAUGUUUGGAUCACUUGAUUUUGAAUCACUUGACACAUGCGAGCCAUGCCUCAUGGGCAGGAUGACUAAGACCCCGUUUUCAGGUACAAUGAAACGGGCAAGUGACUUGUUGGAAAUCAUGCAUGCUGAUGCGUGUGAUCCAAUGAGAAUUGAAGCGUGCGGUGGAUAUCGCUAUUUUCUCAUCUUCACUGACGAUUUUGGUAGAUAUAGGUAUAUCUACUUAUUGAAGCACAAGUCUGAAACGUUUGAAAAGUUCAAGUGAUUUCAGAGUGAAGUUAAGAAUCAUCAUAACAAUAAGAUCAUGUUCCUACGAUCUGAUCAAAAGGGGAUUUUCUGAGUUAUGAGUUUGGCAAUCACUUAAGACAUUGUGGAAUUGUUUCACAGUUGAAGCCACCUGGAACACCACAAGGUAAUGGUGUGUCCGGACGUCGUAAUCGAACCCUAUGAGAUAUGGUGCGAUCUAUGAUGUCUCUUACCAAUCUACCAUUUUCAUUUUGAGGUUAUGCGUUAGAGACAGCUGCAUUCACUUUAGAUAGGACACCAUCUAAGUCCGUUGAAACGACAUCGUGUGAACAUUGGUUUGGCGAGAAACCAAAGUUGUCACUUCUUAAUGUUUGGGGCUGCGAUGCUUAAGGCUUCAGCUGAAGAAGCUCGAACCCAAAGCGGACAAACACAUCUUCAUAGGAUACCCAAAGGUGAUAGUUGGGUACACCUUCUAUCUCAGAUCCGAGGGCAAAUUGUUUGUCGCUAAGAACAGGUCCUUUCUCGAGAAGGAGUUUCUCUCGAAAGAAUUGAGUGGGAGGAAGAUAGAACUUGAUGAGGUUGUCGAACCUUUACUUCAACCAGAGAGUGAUGCAACACAAAAAGAUGUUUUCUGUGGCGCCUACGUCUGUUGAAUAGGAAGUUAAUGAUAGUGAUCAUGAAGCAUCGGAUCAAGUUGCUAUCCAACCUCGUAGGUCGACAAGGAUAUGUACUACUCCUAAGUGGUACGGUAAUCCUGUCUUAGAUAUCAUGUUGUUAGACAACAAUGAACCUACGAGCUAUGGAGAAGCGAUGGUGGGCCCGUAUUUCGACAAAUGGUUAGAAGCCAUGAAAUCCGAGAUAGGAUCCAUAUAUCAGAACAAAGUAUGGACAUUGGUGGACUUGCCCGAUGAUAGGCAAGCCAUUGAGAUAAAUGGAUCUUUAAGAAGAAGACGGACGUGGGCGGUAAUGUUACCGUCUAUGAAGCUCGACUUGUGGGAAAGAGUCUUUUCACAAGUUCAAGGAGUUGACUACGAUGAGAAUUUCUCACCCGUAGCAAUGCUUAAGUCCGUCGGAAUCAUGUUAGCAUUAGCUGUAUUUUUUGAUUAUGAAAUCUUACAGAUGGAUGUCAAAACAAGUUUUCUUACCAAGUUUUCGUAAGAAAAGUUGUAUGUGAUACAAUAAAAGGUUUUGUCGAUCCUAAGGAUGCUAAAAGGUAUGCUGGCUCCAGCAAUCCUUUUAUGGACUAGAGCAAGCAUCUCGGAAUCGGAAUAUAUGUUUUGAUGGAGUGAUCAAAGCUUUUAGGUUUAUACAAUGUUUGCUAGAAACUUGUAUUUACAAGAAAGUGAGUGGGAGCACUACAACAUUUCUGAGAAGUAUAUGUGGAUGACAUAUUGUUGAUCCAAAAUAAUGUAGAAUUUCUGAAAAGCAUAAACGAUUGUUUGAAGAGUGUUUUUCAAAGGAAGACCUGGAUAAAGCUGCUUACAAAUUGGGCAUCAAGAUCUAUAGAGAUAGAUCAAGACACUUGAUGAUACUUUCAAAGAACACACACCUUGACAUGUUUUUGAAGGAGUUCAAAAUAGAUCAGUCAAAGAAGGGGUUCUUACCUGAGUUGUAAGGUGUGAAGUUGAGUAAGACUCAAAGCUUGACCACGGCAGAAGAAAGAAGAAGGACGAAGGUCGUCCCCUAUGCUCUUGUCAUAGGCUCUAUACGGUAUGCCAUGCUGAAGUACCGCACCUAAUGUGUGCCUUGCCACAUGACUGGCAAGAGGGUACAAAGGUGAUCUAGGACUGGAUCACAAGAUAGUGGUCGAAAUUAUCAUUAGAGGAAUAAGGAAAUGUUUCUCGGUUAUGGAGGUGAUAAAGAGUUCGAUGUAAAGAGUUAUGUCGAUGCAAGCUUAACACCUAUCCGGAUAGCUCUGAGUAGAGAUACCGGAUACGUAUAAUGAAGUAAUAAUUUGGAAUAGCUCCAAGUGGAAUGUGGUAGCAGCAUCUAUGAUAUAAAGUUUUGCGAAAUACAUAGGGAUCUGAAUAUGGCAAGACCCGUUGACUACAACCUCUCUCACAAGCAUAACAUGAUCAAACCCAGAACUCUUUGAGUGUUUAUCACAUAGUGAUGUGAACUAGAUUAUUCAGUCUAGUAAACUCUUUGGAUGUUGGUCACAUGGCGAUGUGACCUGUGAGUGUUAAUCACAUGGCGAUGUGAACUAGAUUAUUGACUCUAGUGCAAGUGGGAGACUGUUGGAAAUAUGCCCUAGAGGCAAUAAUAAAUUGGUUAUUAUUAUAUUUCCUUGUUCAUGAUAAUCGUUUAUUAUCCAUGCUAUAAUUGUAUUGAUAGGAAACUCAAAUACAUGUGUGGAUACAUAGACAACACCAUAUCCCUAGUAAGCCUCUAGUUGACUAGCUCGUUGAUCAAUAGAUGGUUACGGUUUCCUAACCAUGGACUUUGGAUGUCGUUGAUAACGGGAUCACAUCAUUAGGAGAAUGAUGUGAUGGACAAGACCCAAUCCUAAGCCUAGCACAAAGAUCGUGUAGUUCGUAUGCUAAAGCUUUUCUAAUGUCAAGUAUCAUUUCCUUAGACCAUGAGAUUGUGCAACUCCCGGAUACCGUAGGAGUGCUUUGGGUGUGCCAAACGUCACAACGUAACUGGGUGGCUAUAAAGGUACACUACAGGUAUCUCCGAAAGUGUCUGUUGGGUUGGCACGAAUCGACACUGGGAUUUGUCACUCCGUGUAAACGGAGAGGUAUCUCUGGGCCCACUCGGUAGGACAUCAUCAUAAUGUGCACAAUGUGACCAAGGAGUUGAUCACGGGAUGAUGUGUUACGGAACGAGUAAAGAGACUUGCCGGUAAAGAGAAUGAACAAGGUAUCGGAUACCGACGAUCGAAUCUCGGGCAAGUACAAUACCGCUGGAUAAAGGGAAUUGUAUACGGGAUUGAUUGAAUCCUUGACAUCGGGGUUCAUCCGAUGAGAUCAUCGUGGAACAUGUGGGAGCCAACAUGGGUAUCAAGAUCCCGUUGUUGGUUAUUGACCGGAGAGUUGUCUCGGCCAUGUCUGCAUGACUCCUGAACCCGUAGGGUCUACACACUUAAGGUUCGAUGACGCUAGGGUUAUAGGGAAUAAAUAUACGUGGUUACCGAAUGUUGUUCUGAGUCCCGGAUGAGAUCACGGAUGUUACGAGGAGUUCCGGAAUGGUCCGGAGGUAAAGAAUUAUAUAUGGGAAGUCCUGUUUUGGUCGCCGGAAAAGUUUCGGGUUUUAUCGGUAAUGUAACGGGACCACCGGGAGGGUCCCGGUGGUCCACCAAGUGGGACCACAAGCCCCGGAGGGCUGCAUGGGCCAAGUGUGGGAGGGUACCAGCCCCAGGUGGGCUGGUGCGCCCCCCCACAAGGGCCCAAGGUGCCUAGGGUUUGGGGAGGGGGCGCCUCCACCUAGCUUGGGGGGCAAGUUUCCCCCUCUCCCCCCCUUGGCCGCCACCCUAGAUGGGUUUGGGGCUGCCGCACCCCUUGGGGUGGAAACCCUAAAGGGGGCGCAACCCCCUCCCUCUCCCCUAUAUAUACUUGAGGACUUUGGGGCUGCCCACACAUGAGUUUUGACCUCUCCAUGGCGCAGCCCUACCUCUCUCCCUCCUCCUCUCCCGCGGUGCUUGGCGAAGCCCUGCAGGACUGCCACGCUCCUCCUCCACCACCACACCGUCGUGCUGCUGCUGGAUGGAGUCUUCCCCAACCUCUCCUUCCCCCCUUGCCGGAUCAAGGCAUAGGAGACGUCACCGGGCUGUACGUGUGUUGAACGCGGAGGUGCCGUCCGUUCGGCACUAGGAUCAUCGGUGAUUUGGAUCACGACGAGUACGACUCCAUCAACCCCAUUCACUUGAACGCUUUCGCUUAGCGGUCUACAAGGGUAUGUAGAUGCACUCUCCUUCCCCUCGUUGCUAGAUUACUCCAUAGAUUGAUCUUGGUGAUGCGUAGAAAAUUUUGAAUUUCUGCUACGUUCCCCAACAACCGGCCCGCCACACCCUUCCUGGAACUCCGCGACUCCGUCACCUCCACCACUACAACCAAGUUCCACAGUGCUUAUCCUCUGUUGUCGGUCCACGCCUCUCAUUUGUUUGUCGCACAAGUACCAUCAGCCCCUACGACAGUCACCAUACCCGGCAAGUGUUUUUAAUUCUUGAAAACCGAGCUGCUUUCUCAUCCCUAUAUAUCCUCGAUCAUGCCGAGUACUUAUGGCAGAGGGGAAACUUGUUGUGAUUUGUUUCAGGACAACUAUUUUCCUUUAUGCGGAUAUCCUUCGACGUGAGUUGUAUACUUCUGACCUGCCGACCAAGUUUAGCGCAUGUUCUGACAGUCAGCUUUUGACUUCUCCCACCUGAGGUACUUUACCAGUUAAAUUAGAAGUGGUAAUCACAGAGGUGCUCCUGGUACGCCCUUAGCAGAACUAGUGAAAACGCAAGGGGUAAACGUAGAAGCCAGACAACCUAACUAUUGACCAAAGACACACGUCGAACUUGAUGCCUAUAAUGGCAUAUGGUUCGAGGAAGUUGUUGGCGACUCAUUGGAGUACCUCGACGUUUGUUAUUCGGGCUGCCAUGCAGCCCCCAGGCUAUCGAUGUGGUCGCUUAACGCAUCCGACAUGGCUUGUAGCCCAAGGAUAAUGGCGUAGUUACAAUGAUCAAAAUUGAAUGAGACCAAGGAUGCACCAUGAGUCACUAGUGCUGAAAAGCCUAGCUAUGAUGUGGCGAAAAAUGCCUUGCUGGCAUGGGAUCCCAACGCCACCAAUAUGGCGCCACUAUUAAAAAAUAGUGGUGGCAUUGGAGCCCACGUCAGAAGUAUUUUAGAUGUUGAUGGCGUGCCAUGUGGCCAACGCAACCACUAAUAUUCAUCAUUACUGGCAUGCCAUGGUGACGCUACGCAAGCAAUUUGAUUUUAGAUUUGAAAUAAAAGUUGUACAACAAUGCUUUCCCAACCAAAUGACAGCAUAAUCCAUUUUACUAACAGCAAUAAAAUGCACUUUUGAUGGUACUAAAUUAAGG